This 467-nucleotide ribosomal RNA is filed under the name uncultured bacterium. Its description in RNAcentral is "partial 16S ribosomal RNA". It matches the Rfam family "Bacterial small subunit ribosomal RNA", at positions 28 to 506 of the family's 1533-position model. The record is from RNAcentral.
GACGAACGCUGGCGGCGUGCUUAACACAUGCAAGUCGAACGGAAAGGCCCUGCUUUUGUGGGGUGCUCGAGUGGCGAACGGGUGAGUAACACGUGAGUAACCUGCCCUUGACUUUGGGAUAACUUCAGGAAACUGGGGCUAAUACCGGAUAGGAGCUCCUGCUGCAUGGUGGGGGUUGGAAAGUUUCGGCGGUUGGGGAUGGACUCGCGGCUUAUCAGCUUGUUGGUGGGGUAGUGGCUUACCAAGGCUUUGACGGGUAGCCGGCCUGAGAGGGUGACCGGCCACAUUGGGAAUGAGAUACGGCCCAGACUCCUACGGGAGGCAGCAGUGGGGAAUAUUGCACAAGGGGCGGAAGCCUGAGGCAGCAACGCCGCGUGCGGGAUGACGGCCUUCGGGUUGUAAACCGCUUUCGCCUGUGACGAAGCGUGAGUGACGGUAAUGGGUAAAGAAGCACCGGCUAACUACGU